RNAcentral lists this ribosomal RNA (100 nucleotides) under Affinundibacterium seohonense. Lineage: Bacteria; Pseudomonadati; Pseudomonadota; Betaproteobacteria; Burkholderiales; Oxalobacteraceae. The record is from RNAcentral.
GCAAGUUGGUACCACCCCUUCCCAUCCCGAACAGGACCGUGAAACGACUUUGCGCCGAUGAUAGUGCUGCAACCAGUGUGAAAGUAGGUCAUCGUCAGGC